This is a long non-coding RNA of Spinacia oleracea (spinach), 1329 nucleotides long. RefSeq lists it as uncharacterized. The transcript is spliced from 5 exons. Lineage: Eukaryota; Viridiplantae; Streptophyta; Magnoliopsida; Caryophyllales; Amaranthaceae. The record is from RefSeq and is a predicted model, not a curated record.
UUAACCUAUUCUCAAUCUCCCAGGCCUCUCGUAAUCUUGCGGUUCUCACAAUCUCUCAUAACCCCAGUCAUCAUCUUCCUCCACCCCAAUAAUCUUCCUCUCGCAAUCUUCGGAACUCACAAGUCACCAUCAGUCAUCCUCUCUCAAGAUCAACUCGAGCAGUACGUUCAUCAUCUCCAUCCAAUUCACCAUCUCACAAGCGCGCAAUAACAGCUGGUUUUCUACGCAAAGCGAAUACAACAAACAAGGUAUCUAACUGGUUCACCAGUGCAAGAGUGAGGCUGAAGCCAUUUGUGGAUGAAAUGCACGCGCUUGAGAGGAAAACUCAAUGCUCAAAGGCCGAAGAUACCGAGAGAAUCAUCGAUUUGUCAACUGACCACCAAACUUCGUUGCAUUCCCAACUUUCUGAGAAGUACUUCCAGACUACAUACUCUUGCAACUAAGAAAACUAGUUUAAGUACUACUCCAUCCCAAUUCGGCAAAUUCUCAUGAAAGUAAACAGGAGAAUCGCAUCGUGUCACCUGCUAAAGGAGGAGAGUUACAUUCUGCAAUAGCUCAAACUGAAGAUGAUCGUGAUACAGAAAAGGAAAGUCAAGGAUCGGAUAACUUUGAAUAUCAAUAUGAUGUGAAACUAAAAACUGGGAUGCAGACCACUGAUUUAGGCAAUAAUCACGAGAGGGAGAAGAAGAAAAUCGGUGCGCAUAUCCUUAAUUUAAGUGAUGAUGAGAGAGUGAAGAAGAGAAUCAGAAGGUAUGCAUCUGUAGAAACAGAACAAAAUGAAUGGUAUUGUAUGGGUCCACUUGGAGACAUCAGGGGACCUUAUAAAAUGUCAAUGCUCAAGCAAUAGAAUGAAUUAGCUGCUCCAUUUGCUAACAAGUUCAAAGUUUGGAAGAUAGGCCAGUGUGAAAAAGAUAGAGUGCCGUUGUCAGAUUCUUGUCGCUUAGUCUCCACAAUUAGCACUAGCCUGCUUUCUCUCUUUCUUCAAGCACAAGCAGUUCACACUAGCCCUUCUUUCAGAAUCAGAAGAAAUUGGCAAUUGGCAGAAUAUGGAGUACAUGUAUAUAUCAAAUAGUUUUACUUGGAUUACAAAGUAUUAGUAAUCUGGAAGAGAUAUUUUCUCCAAACCCAUACACUCAAGAGGAGAUCGAUGAUGUUCGAGAAAAAUGGCGUAGAUAUUUAUUAGUAGUUGUUUGUAGUCAUUUUCUAGUUUUCAGAGAUAGAAAUAAACUAUAACAAAUUGUAGGUUAUUUUUUGGAAUACAAUUAUUUAUACUUGUUGAACCAACUUUCUUGUUUGAAUUAAUACAAAAUAUUUUCGCAAUUCUGCAAA